AACAUCUAAUAGUUUAACAACCUCUUUCCUAACCACUUCCUUCAUUGCGGGAUUUAGUCUUCUUUGGGGUUGCACCACUGGUUUGUGACCAUCCUCCAUGAGAAUUUUAUGCAUACAAAAAACAUCUAAUAGUUUAACAACCUCUUUCCUAACCACUUCCUUCAUUGCGGGAUUUAGUCUUCUUUGGGGUUGCACCACUGGUUUGUGACCAUCCUCCAUGAGAAUUUUAUGCAUACAAACCGUAGGGAUAAUUCCCUUCAAGUCUUCUAUCGCACAUCCCAUUUCACUUUUGUGCUUUUUCAGAACCUUGACCAGCUUAUCUUCUUG
RNAcentral lists this long non-coding RNA (327 nucleotides) under Lathyrus oleraceus (garden pea). RNAcentral's name for it is "Pisum sativum (pea) long non-coding RNA (PSAT_LNC038380)". Lineage: Eukaryota; Viridiplantae; Streptophyta; Magnoliopsida; Fabales; Fabaceae. The record is from RNAcentral.